This 21-nucleotide unclassified non-coding RNA is filed under the name Dictyostelium discoideum. Lineage: Eukaryota; Evosea; Eumycetozoa; Dictyosteliales; Dictyosteliaceae. The record is from RNAcentral.
UGCUGGUUUAAAAGGAAAGCU